This 796-nucleotide small RNA is filed under the name Pan troglodytes (chimpanzee). Its description in RNAcentral is "processed transcript". Lineage: Eukaryota; Metazoa; Chordata; Mammalia; Primates; Hominidae. The record is from RNAcentral.
CGGAGUCGCAGCCGAGGGGAGCCGGGGCCGGAGCCCGAGCCCGAGCCGAGCCGGAGCCCGAGCGAGCGGCGGAGACCGUGCCCCCGCCUCGGCCCCGCGCCGCCGCGGCCAGGCCCGGCAUGGAGGAGGAGUGCCGGGUGCUCUCCAUACAGAGCCACGUCAUCCGCGGCUACGUGGGCAACCGGGCGGCCACGUUCCCGCUGCAGGUUUUGGGAUUUGAGAUUGACGCGGUGAACUCUGUCCAGUUUUCAAACCACACAGGCUAUGCCCACUGGAAGGGCCAAGUGCUGAAUUCAGAUGAGCUCCAGGAGUUGUACGAAGGCCUGAGGCUGAACAACAUGAAUAAAUAUGACUACGUGCUCACAGUUGAUCGUGGUGAGUCUCCUGUUUUCUGAGGGUGACCUGGAUUCUCCCCCUAAAGGUUAUACGAGGGACAAGUCGUUCCUGGCCAUGGUGGUGGACAUUGUGCAGGAGCUGAAGCAGCAGAACCCCAGGCUGGUGUACGUGUGUGAUCCAGUCUUGGGUGACAAGUGGGACGGCGAAGGCUCGAUGUACGUCCCGGAGGAUCUGCUUCCCGUCUACAGAGAAAAAGUGGUGCCGCUCGCAGACAUUAUCACGCCCAACCAGUUUGAGGCCGAGUUACUGAGUGGCCGGAAGAUCCACAGCCAGGAGGAAGCCUUGCAGGUGAUGGACUUGCUGCACUCUAUGGGCCCCGACACCGUGGUCAUCACCAGCUCCGACCUGCCCUCCCCGCGGGGCAGCGACUACCUGAUUGUGCUGGGGAGUCAGAGGAGGA